ACCUAAAUAGUUUAUUAAAAACACUAAUUUGUGGCAUUAGAAAUGGUAAAUUCAUUUACCUUUAGGUC
This 68-nucleotide transfer RNA is filed under the name Acaudina molpadioides. RNAcentral's name for it is "tRNA-His". The record is from RNAcentral. Lineage: Eukaryota; Metazoa; Echinodermata; Holothuroidea; Molpadida; Caudinidae.